This 397-nucleotide ribosomal RNA is filed under the name uncultured bacterium. Its description in RNAcentral is "partial 16S ribosomal RNA". It matches the Rfam family "Bacterial small subunit ribosomal RNA", at positions 523 to 918 of the family's 1533-position model. The record is from RNAcentral.
AUACGUAGGGGGCGAGCGUUGUCCGGAAUGAUUGGGCGUAAAGGGCGUGUAGGCGGUCUUGCAAGUCAGAAGUGAAAUUCCUGAGCUCAACUCGGGCGCUGCUUCUGAAACUGCAGGACUUGAGUGCUGGAGGGGAUAGCGGAAUUCCUAGUGGAGCGGUAAAAUGCGCAGAUAUUAGGAAGAGCACCGGUGGCGAAGGCGGCUAUCUGGACAGUAACUGACGCUGAGGCGCGAAAGCGUGGGGAGCAAACAGGAUUAGAUACCCUGGUAGUCCACACUGUAAACGAUGAAUGCUAGGUGUAAGAGGUAUCGACCCCUUUUGUGCCGGAGUCAACACAAUAAGCAUUCCGCCUGGGGAGUACGGCCGCAAGGUUGAAACUCAAAUGAAUUGACGGGG